Molecule: long non-coding RNA, 573 nt
Filed under: Equus asinus (donkey)
Lineage: Eukaryota; Metazoa; Chordata; Mammalia; Perissodactyla; Equidae
Description: lncRNA (ENSEASG00005036821.1)
Source: RNAcentral
AGUGUGUUAACAAUGGAGAUUCCUGCAGACAUAUCAAAUCAGAGUCUCCAGCGGAGGGGCCUGGGACGUGGAAUUUCCAACCAGCAGACCAGCUGAUUGCUAUGAUCAGCCUUUCUGAAGACCUUGAUUUGUAUUUUAAGCAGUAACUGCACUCUAGCAAGCAGCUAGUUGUCAGCGUUAUCUUCAUUUCUGCAAGACAGACCAGAUUCUUGGAGACAUAAGUGUCUUACCUCCUGGCCAGACCUGGCCACUUAGCCUGCGGAAGCGUCGGGACUCCUGACCGCUUGUCCAGAGGUUUUACUUAGGAGCUGCUGGAGGGAACGACAGCUGCUUGUGGAUCUCAGUGCUCAGCACUGGGCCAACGGCAAAGUAGUUUCUGGAGACUGUUAAUUGGAAAGCUGAGACUCAGAAGUGUUGCAUGCCAUAUCUGGUCCCUCAACAAGAGCAGGCCUGUUGGAUGAGAACCACGAAGGCAGCUGACUCUGCAGAUGGUCAACAGAGCUUCAGAAAUCGUGAAGUGUCAGGACCUCAAAUCAAUAAGAGAGCUGGGCCCUACCUAGUGAGCAGAUAUUA